This 484-nucleotide ribosomal RNA is filed under the name uncultured bacterium. RNAcentral's name for it is "partial 16S ribosomal RNA". It matches the Rfam family "Bacterial small subunit ribosomal RNA", at positions 30 to 507 of the family's 1533-position model. The record is from RNAcentral.
AUUGAACGCUGGCGGCAGGCCUAACACAUGCAAGUCGAGCGGAUGAAGGGAGCUUGCUCCUGGAUUCAGCGGCGGACGGGUGAGUAAUGCCUAGGAAUCUGCCUGGUAGUGGGGGAUAACGUCCGGAAACGGGCGCUAAUACCGCAUACGUCCUGAGGGAGAAAGUGGGGGAUCUUCGGACCUCACGCUAUCAGAUGAGCCUAGGUCGGAUUAGCUAGUUGGUGGGGUAAAGGCCUACCAAGGCGACGAUCCGUAACUGGUCUGAGAGGAUGAUCAGUCACACUGGAACUGAGACACGGUCCAGACUCCUACGGGAGGCAGCAGUGGGGAAUAUUGGACAGUGGGCGAAAGCCUGAUCCAGCCAUGCCGCGUGUGUGAAGAAGGUCUUCGGAUUGUAAAGCACUUUAAGUUGGGAGGAAGGGCAGUAAGUUAAUACCUUGCUUUUUUGACGUUACCAACAGAAUAAGCACCGGCUAACUUCGUG